UAGACUUUAUCCCUCUCCAAGGUACGCAAAUCAUCGAAGAGGGUUUCCAUCGAGUCAAUCCAAGACUCGACCAUCUCCGGUUCCACGUUCUCGCCCUCGAAAGUUGGCGGAUGGAACUUGUUGAACUUGAUAAGAGCCGCCAACGCGCGCUCUCCUUCCACCUCUUCGGCCGACACAUCGGGUGUAGCCGAUCCCGAUGCCGCCUGUGGUGCGAUCGCUGGCGGUGGGCGUGCCGUCACUAGAACCGCCGCUAUACCCUCACCCUCCGCCACCUCAGGUACAGGGUCGAGGGCGCGGGCGGACCACCGCCCUCAGCCACUGUCGCGGGCGCUGCCGCGAGCUGCCGCUCCAUAAGCUCCUGGAGCCUCUCGAAUCGGGUCUCCUGGCGCUGCACCACAUUAGUCAACGCGGUCACUUGCGCCUGCAGCCGAUCCAUCAUGCUCGGCUCCGUCUGCUCGGGCACCUCGGGUGGCGGUGCCGGAGUGGAUCUCGUACUUGGGCGUCUCUUCGGUGCCAUAGCUCCUGAAACGCAACCACUUGGUUAAUCACUUUAACCAACUUCCUCGUCGGAAUCACGACACACGACGACUGAACAACAAAAUUGGGCGGAAGCACACAAGCGUACUCAUCCUAGGCUCUUGGCAUCAUGUAGUCGGCCGCCGACACAACCACCUCAAGUCAAGAACUCAUACAACUCGAAUCCGUCUCUAAUCACAACUAGAGACCUAUACCAACUGCGACCCAAUCGAUUUAACCUCCGCCAUCGCUAUAGGUUCACGUUCCGCUCACGCACCUAUAACCUUAAAGCUUGCCAACCUAGGGUCUCCUAGGUCAUCAUAGACUCUCUUUACUUGCUCUUAUUGCUCUGAUACCACAAAAGACUGUCACGCCCCGCCCCGAAAUCACUACCAAUUUGGCACGAUUCGGCCGCGGCGACGGACCGCCGAAUGGACAACACCUCCCUUGUCCGCCCAAGGCUCAACGACAGGAAUGUGUACAAGAAUUUACUCAGGACUUUAAAUUCUAAACAUACACAUUCAACGAGGGCACAAACAGUGCCAACAACAAGAAGAGCAGGUAAUCCACAAGAUAUACGAGUGAAAUAAAGAGAGUACUUUACUAACUAUUACAAUAGUUGCAUUCUUUACAUCAUUUUUCAUCCAAAAUACAUAGCUCUCCAAAUCCUCACCUACAAUAAAUCUCUCUCUAUACAUAGGUGACUAAUGCAAAAGGGAAAGCUACUAUACUACCACGGUCUCACUGGUCGGGCGCGACGCCCUUGCCGCGGUCCUCUCUCUGCAGCCCUGAACCUACCACUGGAAAUAGAGUGGGGUGAGAACUAUCUUCCAUAGUUCC
RNAcentral lists this long non-coding RNA (1356 nucleotides) under Ananas comosus (pineapple). Its description in RNAcentral is "long non-coding RNA (ACOM_LNC037760)". Lineage: Eukaryota; Viridiplantae; Streptophyta; Magnoliopsida; Poales; Bromeliaceae. The record is from RNAcentral.